Molecule: ribosomal RNA, 753 nt
Filed under: Salmonella enterica
Lineage: Bacteria; Pseudomonadati; Pseudomonadota; Gammaproteobacteria; Enterobacterales; Enterobacteriaceae
Description: bacterial SSU rRNA
Rfam family: Bacterial small subunit ribosomal RNA
Source: RNAcentral
AAAUUGAAGAGUUUGAUCAUGGCUCAGAUUGAACGCUGGCGGCAGGCCUAACACAUGCAAGUCGAACGGUAACAGGAAGCAGCUUGCUGCUUUGCUGACGAGUGGCGGACGGGUGAGUAAUGUCUGGGAAACUGCCUGAUGGAGGGGGAUAACUACUGGAAACGGUGGCUAAUACCGCAUAACGUCGCAAGACCAAAGAGGGGGACCUUCGGGCCUCUUGCCAUCAGAUGUGCCCAGAUGGGAUUAGCUUGUUGGUGAGGUAACGGCUCACCAAGGCGACGAUCCCUAGCUGGUCUGAGAGGAUGACCAGCCACACUGGAACUGAGACACGGUCCAGACUCCUACGGGAGGCAGCAGUGGGGAAUAUUGCACAAUGGGCGCAAGCCUGAUGCAGCCAUGCCGCGUGUAUGAAGAAGGCCUUCGGGUUGUAAAGUACUUUCAGCGGGGAGGAAGGUGUUGUGGUUAAUAACCGCAGCAAUUGACGUUACCCGCAGAAGAAGCACCGGCUAACUCCGUGCCAGCAGCCGCGGUAAUACGGAGGGUGCAAGCGUUAAUCGGAAUUACUGGGCGUAAAGCGCACGCAGGCGGUCUGUCAAGUCGGAUGUGAAAUCCCCGGGCUCAACCUGGGAACUGCAUUCGAAACUGGCAGGCUUGAGUCUUGUAGAGGGGGGUAGAAUUCCAGGUGUAGCGGUGAAAUGCGUAGAGAUCUGGAGGAAUACCGGUGGCGAAGGCGGCCCCCUGGACAAAGACUGA